GGAAAACGGUACUAGAAGAUAGCUACUGGAUUGCUUUAUUAUUACACAGUCUCCCAAACAACUUCUAUUUAAAGAAAAGGGAAGUGUUGAUUAUUCCUGGGCAAGAUGGCUGAAUAGGAGCAGCUCCAGUCUGCAGCUUCCAACGAGACCAACGCAAAAGAGAAUCCCACCAGCAAGAAAACUUUCAGCAGACGUGGCUCCUAGACCUUGGAAUUCUCAGCCUCCAGAACUGUAAGAAAUACAUUUCUUUGCUUUAAAAAUUACCCAGUCUCAGGGAUUCAGUUAUAGCAACAGAAAACAGACUAAGUCCUAUGGUUUGAAUUUAUGUGUCCCUCCAAAAUUCAUAUGUUGAAACUUAAAUACCAAUGUGAUCAUAUUAAGAGUGAGUAGGUCCUGAGGGCUGUGUCCUCUUGAGUGGGAAUAAUGUGUUUUAAAAGAG
This 439-nucleotide long non-coding RNA is filed under the name Homo sapiens (human). Its description in RNAcentral is "HSALNT0284570". The record is from RNAcentral. Lineage: Eukaryota; Metazoa; Chordata; Mammalia; Primates; Hominidae.